CCUACGGGAGGCUGCAGUGAGGAAUAUUGGUCAAUGGACGAGAGUCUGAACCAGCCAAGUAGCGUGAAGGAUGACUGUCCUAUGGGUUGUAAACUUCUUUUAUAUGGGAAUAAAGCAUGGGAUGUGUCCUCUCUUGUAUGUACCAUAUGAAUAAGGAUCGGCUAACUCCGUGCCAGCAGCCGCGGUAAUACGGAGGAUCCGAGCGUUAUCCGGAUUUAUUGGGUUUAAAGGGAGCGUAGGUGGAUUGUUAAGUCAGGUGUGAAAGUUUGCGGCUCAACCGUAAAAUUGCAGUUGAAACUGGCAGUCUUGAGUACAGUUGAGGUGGGCGGAAUGCGUGGUGUAGCGGUGAAAUGCUUAGAUAUCACGAAGAACUCCGAUUGCGAAGGCAGCUCACUGGGCCACAACUGAUACUGAUGCUCGAAAGUGUGGGUAUCAAACAGGAUUAGAUACCCCAGUAGUC
RNAcentral lists this ribosomal RNA (460 nucleotides) under uncultured bacterium. Its description in RNAcentral is "partial 16S ribosomal RNA". It matches the Rfam family "Bacterial small subunit ribosomal RNA", at positions 338 to 795 of the family's 1533-position model. The record is from RNAcentral.